This 440-nucleotide ribosomal RNA is filed under the name uncultured bacterium. RNAcentral's name for it is "partial 16S ribosomal RNA". It matches the Rfam family "Bacterial small subunit ribosomal RNA", at positions 338 to 795 of the family's 1533-position model. The record is from RNAcentral.
CCUACGGGAGGCAGCAGUAGGGAAUAUUGCUCAAUGGGGGAAACCCUGAAGCAGCAACGCCGCGUGGAGGAUGAAGGUUUUCGGAUUGUAAACUCCUUUUGUUAGAGAAGAUAAUGACGGUAUCUAACGAAUAAGCACCGGCUAACUCCGUGCCAGCAGCCGAGGCAAUACGGAGGGUGCAAGCGUUACUCGGAAGCACUGGGCGUAAAGAGCGCGUAGGCGGGUUAUGAAGUCAGAUGUGAAAUCCUAUGGCUUAACCAUAGAACUGCAUUUGAAACUGUUAUUCUAGAGUAUAGGAGAGGUAGGUGGAAUUCGUGGUGUAGGGGUAAAAUCCGUAGAGAUCAAGAGGAAUACUCAUUGCGAAGGCGACCUGCUAGAACAUAACUGACGCUGAUGCGCGAAAGCGUGGGGAGCAAACAGGAUUAGAUACCCCAGUAGUC